This 202-nucleotide ribosomal RNA is filed under the name uncultured bacterium. Its description in RNAcentral is "partial 16S ribosomal RNA". It matches the Rfam family "Bacterial small subunit ribosomal RNA", at positions 28 to 226 of the family's 1533-position model. The record is from RNAcentral.
GACGAACGCUGGCGGCGUGCUUAACACAUGCAAGUCGAGCGGUAAGGCCCUUUCGGGGGUACGACGAGCGGCGAACGGGUGAGUAACACGUGGGUGACCUGCCUCCAGCUCUGGGAGUAAGCCUGGGAAACCGGGUCGUAAUAACUGGAUAUGACUCCAUGACGGCAUGUUGUGGGGUGGAAAGCCUUGUGCGGCUGAGGAU